UAGGGAAUCUUCCGCAAUGGGCGAAAGCCUGACGGAGCAACGCCGCGUGAGUGAUGAAGGUCUUCGGAUCGUAAAACUCUGUUAUUAGGGAAGAACAAAUGUGUAAGUAACUAUGCACGUCUUGACGGUACCUAAUCAGAAAGCCACGGCUAACUACGUGCCAGCAGCCGCGGUAAUACGUAGGUGGCAAGCGUUAUCCGGAAUUAUUGGGCGUAAAGCGCGCGUAGGCGGUUUUUUAAGUCUGAUGUGAAAGCCCACGGCUCAACCGUGGAGGGUCAUUGGAAACUGGAAAACUUGAGUGCAGAAGAGGAAAGUGGAAUUCCAUGUGUAGCGGUGAAAUGCGCAGAGAUAUGGAGGAACACCAGUGGCGAAGGUGACUUUCUGGUCUAUAACUGACGCUGAUGUGCGAAAGCGUGGGGAUCAAACAGG
This 429-nucleotide ribosomal RNA is filed under the name Actinomycetes bacterium. Its description in RNAcentral is "Actinobacteria bacterium partial 16S ribosomal RNA". It matches the Rfam family "Bacterial small subunit ribosomal RNA", at positions 355 to 776 of the family's 1533-position model. Lineage: Bacteria; Bacillati; Actinomycetota; Actinomycetes. The record is from RNAcentral.